Molecule: long non-coding RNA, 670 nt
Organism: Rosa rugosa (rugosa rose)
Lineage: Eukaryota; Viridiplantae; Streptophyta; Magnoliopsida; Rosales; Rosaceae
Exons: 2
Source: RefSeq, a predicted model, not a curated record
AGAGGUAUCGCAUUACUAUGGGUUGUAUAAUUCUCUAUAUAUAUGGCUCUGCCUCUGCACUAUCUUCAAACCAUCACUCAAAGAUAGAUUAAACAAAACAGAUUUCCUACUAAUUACGAAGCCCUACUAAAUUAUUACAUAUAAAGCUAGCGAAAAAUGGCUCUUGCUAUGCCUAACAACAAAGUGGCCAUGCUUCUCGUGCUCUGUCUUUUUCUCAUCGUCUGCUCCUCUGAAAGCAGACAACUCGGUACUGGGAAUGGCAAACCGAGCUGCGACGCUGUUUAUGCGGUACAACCUGAUGAUUCUUGCAGAAGCGUGAUUUCGGAUUUCGGUCUGGAUUCUGACGACUUCUUUUCAAUCAAUCCCAACAUCAACUGCGAUGCUAUCUUUGUCGAUCAAUGGCUUUGUAUCGAGGGCUCAGCAUAGUACAUAUAUGCUGCCGCAGCUUGCAGGAGGACUCGAGUUCAAGCAAAGAUUUAAUAAAACUGAGUAAUAAACAGAACAAAGGAUCUUCGUAAUUAACAUUGUCAGAGGACAUUGUUCUUGCUGUUAUGUUAUUUGAGUAUGGAAUAAUACGGUUGACAGUGCUAGCAUGUCAAGAUUGUUAGCCAAGUCAGUACGUAACAAUGUAGCUCAUUAAGUUUUUUACGUAUUCUCUCGCUUUCUCUCA